RNAcentral lists this ribosomal RNA (497 nucleotides) under uncultured bacterium. RNAcentral's name for it is "partial 16S ribosomal RNA". It matches the Rfam family "Bacterial small subunit ribosomal RNA", at positions 28 to 507 of the family's 1533-position model. The record is from RNAcentral.
GAUGAACGCUGGCGGCGUGCCUAAUACAUGCAAGUCGAGCGAACAGACGAGGAGCUUGCUCCUCUGACGUUAGCGGCGGACGGGUGAGUAACACGUGGAUAACCUACCUAUAAGACUGGGAUAACUUCGGGAAACCGGAGCUAAUACCGGAUAAUAUAUUGAACCGCAUGGUUCAAUAGUGAAAGACGGUUUUGCUGUCACUUAUAGAUGGAUCCGCGCCGCAUUAGCUAGUUGGUAAGGUAACGGCUUACCAAGGCAACGAUGCGUAGCCGACCUGAGAGGGUGAUCGGCCGAACUGGAGCUGAGACACGGUCCAGACUCCUACGGGAGGCAGCAGUAGGGAAUCUUCCGCAAUGGGCGAAAGCCUGACGGAGCAACGCCGCGUGAGUGAUGAAGGUCUUCGGAUCGUAAAACUCUGUUAUUAGGGAAGAACAAAUGUGUAAGUAACUAUGCACGUCUUGACGGUACCUAAUCAGAAAGCCACGGCUAACUACGUG